This 24-nucleotide non-coding RNA is filed under the name Rattus norvegicus (Norway rat). The record is from RNAcentral. Lineage: Eukaryota; Metazoa; Chordata; Mammalia; Rodentia; Muridae.
UCCGCUAUGUUGAGGUCUGCAAGG